GACUUGUGUUGCUCAUAUUCCAAAAGAAAAAGAAAACAGAAAAAUUCUCGAAGGGAAUUAAGAGCAGAAAGGCAUUUGUCCCCCAAGCAACGAUCAAAAUGAACGAGCAUCGGGGCGUUCCGACCGAGCUGCUCAUCCGAGGAGUAGAUUCUCGCGCAUUCGGCUGCGUAGACCUCUGCAAUCGCCACGGUCUCUGAAACCUGCGAGAAAUCAGGUUCCUUGUCUUAGUUUCGUUCCGUCGAAAGUUCUCCAGCUCUUGUUCACGAAAGGAUUCGUCCCUUUCUGUCUGAUGCAGCCGAGCUGUUUGAUGUAAUUCGUGAAAGACACCAAAGUCGGUUCUCGUGUUGGUCACGGUUGAAACCGGUGCAUCCAUGCUUGCGGUGGCGUUUGUUAGUAUUCGAAACAUCUGUAGCAUGCGGUUGAUGCCAAGUUUUGGCAUUUGGCUGAAUGGAGGUAAAUCCAAUACUGAGGCGGCGGCGGCCUCUUUAGCUGAACACAAUGCUAUUAAUGGGUUUAGCGAAACAGAGAGUAAGAUGCAGUUGGGAACGCAUCGAGACCUCUUCCGCCAAACGGGAAUAAUUGCUUGGUUGAGAAUUUCUGUUUCUGUUAUGGAUGUUGCAAUGAUGGGUGCAUGUAAAAAGACUUCUAUGAUAGCUCAGGUUGGCCACAGUCAACAUACACUGUGGUUUUUCAUGUUAGAGUUUUCUGGAAACAAUUUCUUGAUGAGUCACUUUGUUCCCGGUGACGUAGGGCUGAAAAAAGCUAGUAAAUUUGUUUUCUCCUAAAUCACUUGAAGCACGAAUGUCUUUCUUUGCUUGAAGGAAAUGGGAAUUGGUUCAAAAGCAGCACAAUAUGCUUCCGGAUUUUUGCUUAGAUGGAGUCAUCAAUGAUUACUUCGGGCACUGAGCAUUGUCUGGAACACAUAUAAGGAGUAAGUAAUGUUACCAUUCUAUUUGCUAAUUGAAGAUCUUCGCUCCUACUGAUAGCUUGCUGUUUCAAUUGUCACUAUAUUAGAGACCUUCAGUUGUAAUAUCGAUCUUGCUCCACUGUGCGGUGACCGGUUCAAUACAUGGGCAACUACCGAUUACGAACUUGUGUAACUUUACUGCAUUGAUGAUUGAUGAUUUUCAUAGGAUCCAAUAUUCUUGAAGAGCUCAACUAUCUUUCUCCACAUGAAUUUGUACAAUGCUUGCUCUUUUCUUGUUUUUUGAGAGAAGGUAAAUCACAGGCGUUCAGACAGUGUUUAUCAAAAACAAACAAAGCUAUGAUAUACAGGUAAAGCAUAGACAGGGAACUUUUUUUGUGAUUUAUAAACUGAUCAUGCUUACCUCUUGUGGGAAUUUUCUGUGAAUUGGGAGGAAUAAAAUUACCUCUCAUUAAGAUUUGUUCAAUUGUUCAAUUAUAGUGAGAGGAAUAAAUGUUAUCUAAUUACUCCAAAGCUCAAAACCUUCCCAAAAUCCAACUCACAAAUCAAGGCCCAUACACUUAAGGUGGAUUAAUCCACGCAAGAUUGCAGGACAAUCCUGAAGAGAUGACCCUCUUUGGAAGUUAUAUGUGUACAAAAAGCCCACAGAUCAUCUUUGUUAUCUAAUUUUCUUAAUUAAUUGUGGAUAAAGAAGGUGGAAACAGAAAAAGCAAAGUCAGAUAUAUUGUGCCAUAAGGUAGCAAUCAUUAUUUCGUUCCUUUUUUUCAAUUAUUAUCUGUGUUUCUUCAGUUUUGAUGAUCUCUAAAUUCCUGAGGAUGUGCUUUCGUAGUAUUUUGCUGUGUGAGCAACCUGAUUGAUGGUUGAUUACGUGGCAGAUUCCUGUAGUUUAAAGACUCACAAAACCAUUUCUCUGGCCACUAAAUUUAUCUAGCACCUAUAAAAAUACAAGUUGCAGAUACUGACUUUAAAUUUACGUGCAUGUUAUUCCCGUAUUUAAUAUGAUGAAUGUUCUGAAUGUGAAUGGAUGGUUUAAAGUCUAUGGCAUAAGGUGAUUAUGCCUCUUGAAAUUCUAUGGCAUAAGUUGAUUAUGCCUCUUGAAAUUUUAGGCUGUGGAGUAGUGCUAAGUCAGUACUAUUUAAUGAUGACAGGGCAAUUGAGAUGCGUUCCAGUGACAUAGCUGCUGCAGCCCAAUUGCAGCUUACCAAAAAGAUGCACACACAUGAUUUGCUCUCUAAACACGUCAGUGCAAAACCUGAGAAGUCCUGGCACUCACAAAAUUUGAUUGGAUUCGGUGCCGUUUUGGUUGCAUCAUAGCAAUUAUUUACUUUUAGAAUGUUUAGUCCAAAAUCUAGUCAAGUAUUUGAUUUUUCAUAUUCAAGUUAGGUCAUGAUUGAUUGUGACAAGAGAUUGUGAAUUGUUGGACAGAAAAUCCAGAGUGCCGAUCCUUUUCUUUAUAGGCUGUAGAACACCUUUUGUGGUUUUCUACGUCUUUUGAUUCCUGUGUAACAUCUUUUCCAGCAGGAUACACCAUUUAGCACUCACAGCGGUUGGUAUUGUGAUGCAUUCAUGAGUCAUAAUUCUUAUCUUCGACUCUUUAACGUAAACACCACCAGAAGCAGCCAGGGGACAUAAUUUGUCUUAUAUGACUGCUUUUGCAUAUUUCUAUAAUGUCCUUCUCAUCUUGGUUAUGAAAGCCAUCCAUCUUUUGACAUUAGGGGUGAGCCAUGGCAUUGUUUCUAGGACAAUUUUUACUGGUGGUCACUAAACCUUGAUGGAUUUUGCAAUUAGAUCACUUAAUUUCUUGGCAAUUGACGCACUUAUCGAUUUUCCAACCAAGUGUCCAGCAAAAACUGACAUGGCCUGUUAUGUGGCAAUUUUUACUGCUUUGGCUGACAGCUGACGCAUAACGUUGACGUGGUUCCAUGUAGACGGCGUGAAAAUUGUGAAAAGAGAAAAAAACAAACUGCAACCCUCUGCUUUGUGGUGGCUGAUACACCAAGUCAUCUCCAUUGAGACAUAGUGGAUGCCACAGUUACCACAGUUACCAUGGUCAAAGUGCAUCAGUUCAAUUACAAAAAGUUAAAUGUUUAGUGCUUUGGGUUGUUGAAAUCAAAGGUCAGUGACCAAAUUGCAAAAUACACCAAAUUCUGGGAAUCACUGGUGGGAAAUCUGUUCUGCUAUGUAUUUGGCUGAUCUUGCAGUCUGAUGGUUGCACUUCUUACUGUAGACUUAGGUUUGCCAAUCCAGACAGAUUUCGAGUAGAUUAACUCUAACCUGGACUAACACCCAUCAGGUUUAUUCAGUCCUAUUCUUUUCCAUAAAUGCAUUUUUUGCCCCAGUCUUGUGUUGAUGCUGGUGCUGUGCUUUUUGGUUCUUGUAAUGUGCUUUCUUCAAGUCAUUGGCUCCAAGUUUGUUUAUGAUUCUGAAGAGAUCACACUUGAGGGUGGAUUUUUGAACCCUUGUUUUCUUCACGAUAAGAACUAUGUUUUGUUUGAAUAUACUUUAGCUUACAAGAAAGCUCCUCAUCUUUUUCAACUACUAACUUCCAGAAAGUGGGAUGGUCUUGUGCAUAGAUGGAGACACUUGGGUUCUCUGUGGGAGGCAAUGUGAGGGCAGCUUAAGAGAACUUCUGUACUAUCUAUACAAGGAAUGUGAUCCAUAAAUUAUGCUGUUACUUGUUACUCUCUCAUUAAGAUUUGUUCAAUUGUUCAAUUAUAGUAAGAGGAAUAAAUGUUACCUAAUUACUCCAAACCCCUAAACCUUCCCAAAAUCCAACUCACAAAUCAAGGUCCAUACACUUAAGGUGGAUUAAUCCAUGCAAGAUUGCAGGGCAAUCCUGGAGAGAUGACUUUCUUUGGAAGCUAUAUACAUAUGAAAAGCCCAUAGAUCAUCUUUUUUAUCUAAUUUCCUUGAUUGAUUGUGGAUGGAGAAGGUGGAAACAGAAAAGGCAAAGUCAGAUAUAUUGUGCCAUAAGGUAACAAUCGUUAUUUCGUUGUGUUUUUUCAAUUAUUAUUUGUGUUUCUUCAGUUUUGAUGAUUUCUAAAUUCCUGAGGAUGUGCUUUUGUAGUAUUUUGCUGCGUAAGCAACCUGAUUGAUGGUUGAUUUGUGCGGAAGAUUUCUGUGGUUUAAUGAUUAAUAAUACUAUUUCUCUGGCUGCCAAAUUUAUCUAGCGCCUAUAAAAAUACAAGUUGCAGAUGCUGACUUUAAAUUUACGUGCACGUUAUUCCUGUAUUUGAUAUGAUGAAUAUUCUGAAUGUGAAUGGGAUGGGUUAAAGUCUAUGGUAUAAGGUGAUUAUGCCUCUUGAAAUUUUAGGUGGUAGCAUAGUGCUAAUACCUAAUGAUGACGGGGCGACUGAGAUGCUUUCCAGUGACUUAGCUGUUACGGCCCAAUUGGAGCUUCCCACAUUUCUCUAUAUGAAAAAGAUGCACACACAUGAUUUGCUCUCUAAACACGUCAGUGUAAAACCUGAGAAGUCCUGGCACUCACAAAAUUUGGUUGGAUUCGGUGCUGUUUCGGUUACAUCAUAGCAAUUAUUUACUUUUAGAAUCCAAAAGCUAGUCAAGUAUUCGAUUUUUCAUAUUCAAGUUAGGUAAUGAUUGAUUGUGAAUUAUUGGACAGAAAAUCCAGAGUGCCGAUCCCUUUCUUUAUAGGCUGUAGAACGCCUUUUGUGGUUUUCUACGUCUUUUGAUUCCCGUGUAACAUCUUUUCCAGCAUGAUACACCUUUUAGCUCUUACAACUGUCGGUAUUGUGAUGCAUUCAUGAGUUGUAAUUCUUAUCUUCGACUCUUAACGUAAACACGACCAUUUAGGAUGGAAGCAGCUAGGGGACAUAAUUUGCUGUAUAUGACUACUUUUGCAUAUAUCUGUAAUGUCCUUCUCAUCUUGGUUAUGAAAGGCAUGUAUCUUUUGACUUUAGGGGUGAGCUGUGCCAUCGUUUCUAGGAUAAUUUUCACCGAUGAUCACUAAAAUUUAAUUAAUUUUGCUAUCGGAUUACUUAAUUUCUUUUCAAUUGAUGCUUUUUGUCCAUUUUCCAACCAAAUGCCCAACGAAAAACUAAUGUGGCCUGUUAUGUGGCAAUUUUACUGCUUUGGCUGACACUUGACACAUGACGUUGAGGGGGUGCCCUGUAGAUGGCAUGAAAAUUUUGAAAAGGAGAAAAAACAAACUGCGACCCUCUGUUUCUACUCCUCUCUUUCUUAAUAUCUCCAUAUUUAUUUUCUUCCUUAAGUUGGGGCUGAUGUGGUGGCUGAUACACCGUCAUCUCCAUUGAGACAUAGUGGAUGCCACCUUUACCACUGUUACAAUGGUCAAAGUGCAUCAGUUCAAUUACAAAAAGUUCAAAAAGUUUAGUGUUUUGGGUUGUUGAAAUCAAAGUUCAGUAACCCAAAUUGCAAAAUACACCAAAUUCCGUGAAUCCUUGGUGGGAAAUCUGUUCUGCUAUGUAUUCUGAUGGUUGCACUUCUUACUGUAAAUUUAUUAGGUUAGCCAAUCCAGACAGAUUUUAUGUAGAUUAACUCUAAUCUGGCUAACACAUGUCAGGUUUAUGCAGUCCAAUUCUUUCCAUGAAUGCAUUUUUUACCCCAGUUUUGUGUUGAUGCUGGUGCUAUGCUCUUUUGUUUCUGUAAUGCGCUUUCUUCAACUCAUUGGCUCUGAGUUUUUAAGGUUCUUGUUAAUAAUUCGGAAGAGGUCACACUUUAAAGUGGAUUUUUGAACCAUGGUUUUCUUCAUGAUAAGAACUAUGAUUUGUUUGCGUAUACUUUAGCUUACAAGAAAGCUUCUUGUCUCUUUCAACUACUAACUUCCAGAAAGUAGUAUGGUCUUAUGCAUAGAUGGAGACACUUGGGUUAUAUGUAGGAAGCAAUGUGAGGGCAGCUUAAGAGAACUUCUGUACUGUCUAUACAAGGAAUGUGAUCCAUAAAUUAUGUUGUCUUGUUACUCUUUUCUAAUGAAGGUGACACGAGCUGUGGAAAUUGUGAUCAAUUUGAAACAUUUGUUGUGAUUGUUAACUAAAUGACCUAAGGUAGAUGGUGCAAUUCAUCUUUCUCAUGUUCCAAGUUGAGCAUUUGGCUUUUUGAUAGGGACAUAUAAUUUAGAUUGCUGCGAAUGGCUUUUAGUGGUCAUAAAAGGACACUUCAAUGGAAACGAAAAGAUUUCCCUAAGAACUUUGCUAAAUUUGUGAAUACAUCAUGUAUUUGAAGUAUGCAUUACCAAAAACAGGAUACUGAAUGACUGAACAUGACCCAUUCUUUCAAGUGUGUGGCAAUAUUGGGUACCACUUUUGACUUAAACAGGCAGAGUUCUGUAUUCCCUCGCAGGGGCAGUAUGUUAAAUACCUCUGCAAAUUCUGAAAGAUCCAGCAAUUUUCAUUAAAUAAGUAUUCUGAAGAACAUACUUGUGGAAAUUGGAUUUACAUUGUAAUUGAGUGAUCAGAUUAAUUAGUCCGUGUUGGUAAAUAUAUGAUAUUUUAAGUCAAUGAUAGCUGCAGUAGAUAAUAAAAAAGAGAAUUGAUUCCUCGGCUGUGUGACUAAGACAUUUGGUUUGCUUUUCUUUUCCGCAUGGUAUCAUGGCUUUAGGUCAAAGCUAAGAAUUAUCUUCUGAUAAUGGAUACUUCAAGUUUGUUUUAGGUGUGAUUUUGAUGUACAAGAGAUAAGCUAAAAAGGAUGGGAAUUGGAGGCCGAAAGUGAUUGAGCGGUCGGUUCACCGACGUCUUAUUAGCUCAGAAUUUUUUUUUACUGCUCAAUGAAAUCUAUUAAAUUUUUAAUUUGCUUGGGAUUGAAGGUCUGCGGAAUGUAUGAUCUUCAGGGGCCUGCACUUACUUGGAUUACACUUUGGAUAUGUUCAACUCAAGACAAUUUUUAUUGUUUCUUGUGCCUUUCAUGUUUGUAAUUGUCAAAUUCUCUGGAAAACCGAGUGGUGAACAAAUGCUUGCGGUGUGAAGGGAGAAAUUUGAGUGCCUAUCAAUUGCUUAGAUCAUUUGGAUUAUUACACUUUUCAGUUCUGAGAAAGCUACAGUUCAUCUUGCAAGCAUUUUCUAUUGGUAAGAUUAUGCCCCAUGACAAUGGAUUACCAACUAAAUUUGUGCCUCCAUGGUCAUCCCAACAAUUUCCGAUGCAUUUGACCAUACAAUUUUGUCUCUCUGAGAGGAAAUUUUAGCUUGGCAGUCCAUAUUUGGAGCAACAGCUUAUGGAAGAUUAGUAAGCAUGAAUUUGGAAAUGUCUGUCUCGUCCUUCUAGAGUCAUCACGACAAUGGGUUGAACAACCUCACCGGUUGCUUUGAGAAUGAGCAAGAAUGUCCUAAGAUGUAUGCGAAUUCUCAUUUUUUUUUAUUAUUUCAAUAUGCUCUUGUAGGGUUUCAGCUUUUAACUUAUUCAUACAAGCCAAGAAGGGAAACUUGGGAGACAAGAUACUCGGUAAAAAUUGUUCUUACUAUACGUCUCUCCUUAUGUGUGCGUGUUUGGACUUUAGAGCAACCAUUUUCCUUGGAAUCAGGAAGGUGAACCUCUUACAGGAAUAUACCAGGUUUUCCAUACCAGUGCAUGUUGGGUUUGUUGCCCUGAGAGACUGAUGAUGAAGAUGGAAAGAUAUACUUGACAUGACGGUAGAAGAUUCUCUGCUGGUGAAACAUUAUCUCUGUGUUCCAGUUCAUCACCAAGUAAGAUAUUGGCUAUCUUAUGUGGCUCCACCAGUGUCAACUUAGAUAAUUUUUAAUAAUUUUUAAUAUAUUUUUGAAUUUUUUUA
Eucalyptus grandis is the source of this 7664-nucleotide long non-coding RNA. RefSeq lists it as uncharacterized. Lineage: Eukaryota; Viridiplantae; Streptophyta; Magnoliopsida; Myrtales; Myrtaceae. The transcript has 2 exons. The record is from RefSeq and is a predicted model, not a curated record.